RNAcentral lists this ribosomal RNA (507 nucleotides) under uncultured bacterium. RNAcentral's name for it is "partial 16S ribosomal RNA". It matches the Rfam family "Bacterial small subunit ribosomal RNA", at positions 28 to 507 of the family's 1533-position model. The record is from RNAcentral.
GACGAACGCUGGCGGCGUGCUUAACACAUGCAAGUCGAACGGGCCUUGUCCCCUUUUUUUUGGGGGUGGGGUUAGUGGCGAACGGGUGAGUAACACGUGAGUAACCUGCCCCUCACUUCUGGAUAACCGCUUGAAAGGGUGGCUAAUACGGGGUGUUCUGGCCUGCUCGCAUGGGUGGGUUUGGAAAGAUUCGACCGGUUUUGGUUGUUUUGGUGGGGGAUGGGCUCGCGGCCUAUCAGCUUGUUGGUGGGGUGAUGGCCUGCCAAGGCGUUGACGGGUAGCCGGCCUGAGAGGGUGGGCGGUCACACUGGGACUGAGACACGGCCCAGACUCCUACGGGAGGCAGCAGUGGGGAAUAUUGCACGAUGGGCGCAAGCCUGAUGCAGCGACGCCGCGUGAGGGAUGGAGGCCUUCGGGGUGUGAACCUCUUUCGCCAGUGAAGAAGGUCCUGCUCUUUGUGGUGGGGUUGACGGUAGCUGGGUUAAUGAAGCGCCGGCUAACUACGUG